CCCUUAGAUGUUCUGGGCUGCACGCGUGCUACACUGAUGUAUUCAACAAGUUCUACCUUGGCCGAGAGGCCUGGGAAAUCUUUCAAAUAUGUAUCGUGAUAGGGAUAGAUUAUUGCAAUUAUUAAUCUUGAACGAGGAAUUCCUAGUAAAUGCAGAUCAUCAUUCUGCGUUGAUUACGUCCCUGCCCUUUGUACACACCGCCCGUCGCACCUACCGAUUGAAUGAUCCGGUGAAGCCUCGGGAUUGUGCCCAGAGAACUUUAUUGUGAUUUGGGUGUGAGAACUUGUCUAAACCUUAUCAUUUAGAGGAAGGUGAAGUCGUAACA
Molecule: ribosomal RNA, 325 nt
Filed under: uncultured eukaryote
Lineage: Eukaryota
Description: partial 18S ribosomal RNA
Rfam family: Eukaryotic small subunit ribosomal RNA
Source: RNAcentral